AAGCAGAGUUUACUCACUGUGAGUUAAAACAACACUCACAUGUCCACAUGUACAUAUAAAGUUUUGAGGUACGUGUACUUCAGUGUUUCCAUGUCUUACUCUGUUGCAGUACUUCUCAGGGGGAACUAUUGUACUUCAAAUAUAAUAAAUUUGGUUAUUUUAAGUAUACUUGUUGAGACGAAUGUCAAAUAUUAAGUUGAUUUAGGUUUAAUUUUUUUGUAGCUUAAUUAUUAAAUUAUUUCCUCGAAUACCAAUUGAUUGAUUGGGAGAUCACCUGGAGGGGCAGUCCUGAGCUGAGAAGUUUGUGUGAGGUGAAGGUUCAAGGAGGUGUUUCCGCUGCAGCCAGGUGGGAAAAGACGCCAGUUUAAUGAGAAUUAGGGCCGGGAAAUGUGCUGGAGUUAUACAAAGAAGGAGAAGGAAAUGAAGAUUAACAGCGGAGGGUGCAUCAGGGUGCAGGAGAUCUCAGAGACGCUACUGAUCCAGAUCCAGCCCAGGUGCCCAAGCUCCAGACUCGGGAGAGAAGGAGGGUGGUUAAAGAUGAGGCCACUGCUGAGGCUGCUGCUUUAGAAACAGAGACUCCUGAAACAUGACACUGCAGCAACAGAGAGAUGAGGAAGCCAAAGAUUAAAUCUGCACUCAGAAAGACUGCUCAGGUCCAAUAAAUGUUGAAAGGAA
Molecule: long non-coding RNA, 675 nt
Organism: Micropterus salmoides (largemouth bass)
Lineage: Eukaryota; Metazoa; Chordata; Actinopteri; Centrarchiformes; Centrarchidae
Exons: 2
Source: RefSeq, a predicted model, not a curated record